GACGAACGCUGGCGGCGUGCUUAACACAUGCAAGUCGAACGAAAAGACCCUGCUUUUGUGGGGUGCUCGAGUGGCGAACGGGUGAGUAACACGUGAGUAACCUGCCCUUGACUUUGGGAUAACUUCAGGAAACUGGGGCUAAUACCGGAUAGGAGCUCCUGCUGCAUGGUGGGGGUUGGAAAGUUUCGGCGGUUGGGGAUGGACUCGCGGCUUAUCAGCUUGUUGGUGGGGUAGUGGCUUACCAAGGCUUUGACGGGUAGCCGGCCUGAGAGGGUGACCGGCCACAUUGGGACUGAGAUACGGCCCAGACUCCUACGGGAGGCAGCAGUGGGGAAUAUUGCACAAUGGGCGGAAGCCUGAUGCAGCAACGCCGCGUGCGGGAUGACAGCCUUCGGGUUGUAAACCGCUUUCGCCUGUGACGAAGCGUGAGUGACGGUAAUGGGUAAAGAAGCACCGGCUAACUACGUG
RNAcentral lists this ribosomal RNA (468 nucleotides) under uncultured bacterium. Its description in RNAcentral is "partial 16S ribosomal RNA". It matches the Rfam family "Bacterial small subunit ribosomal RNA", at positions 28 to 507 of the family's 1533-position model. The record is from RNAcentral.